AACGCGAAGAACCUUACCUGGGCUCGAAGCGCAGUGGACCGGGGUAGAAAUAUCCCUUCCUCGCAAGAGGCUGCUGCGGAGGUGCUGCAUGGCUGUCGUCAGCUCGUGUCGUGAGAUGUUGGGUUAAGUCCCGCAACGAGCGCAACCCUUAUCCCUAGUUGCCAUCGGGUCAAGCCGGGCACUCUAGUGAAACCGCCCAGGAUAACUGGGAGGAAGGUGGGGAUGACGUCAAGUCCUCAUGGCCUUUAUGUCCAGGGCUACACACGUGCUACAAUGGUCGGUACAAACCGUCGCAAACCCGCGAGGGGGAGCUAAUCGGAAAAAGCCGGCCUCAGUUCGGAUUGGAGUCUGCAACCCGACUCCAUGAAGCUGGAAUCGCUAGUAAUCGCGGAUCAGAACGCCGCGGUGAAUACGUUCCCGGGCCUUGUACACACCGGCUAC
This 441-nucleotide ribosomal RNA is filed under the name uncultured bacterium. RNAcentral describes it as "bacterial SSU rRNA". It matches the Rfam family "Bacterial small subunit ribosomal RNA", at positions 958 to 1397 of the family's 1533-position model. The record is from RNAcentral.